RNAcentral lists this transfer RNA (83 nucleotides) under Planctomycetota bacterium. Its description in RNAcentral is "Planctomycetes bacterium (groundwater metagenome) tRNA-Leu". It matches the Rfam family "tRNA". Rfam says of the family: Transfer RNA (tRNA) molecules are approximately 80 nucleotides in length. Lineage: Bacteria; Pseudomonadati; Planctomycetota. The record is from RNAcentral.
GCGAGAGUGGCGGAAUUGGCAUACGCGCUAGACUUAGGAUCUAGUCCUCACAAGGGAUGGGGGUUCAACUCCCCCCUCUCGCA